This 219-nucleotide long non-coding RNA is filed under the name Olea europaea subsp. europaea. The record is from RNAcentral. Lineage: Eukaryota; Viridiplantae; Streptophyta; Magnoliopsida; Lamiales; Oleaceae.
CCACCGACCCUGCCCUGGGCCAUCGUGGAGGAGGUAAAUCACAGGAUGUGCCUCCCAGGAGCCAGGGUGGAGAGCACAUGGAUAGGCCAAGGCUGUUAACCCAUAUGGUAACUCCCGCUUGCAACAAAGUCAAUUCCACCUUGCGGGGAAUCGAACUCUGCACACUGCCGCGCUGAGCCCUAUCCGCCCUCCCCUUUGCCACUGGGAGAUAUGCCCUGG